This 73-nucleotide transfer RNA is filed under the name Ochotona princeps (American pika). RNAcentral's name for it is "tRNA-Val (AAC) (tRNA-Val-AAC-2-1)". It matches the Rfam family "tRNA". Rfam says of the family: Transfer RNA (tRNA) molecules are approximately 80 nucleotides in length. The record is from RNAcentral. Lineage: Eukaryota; Metazoa; Chordata; Mammalia; Lagomorpha; Ochotonidae.
GUUUCCGUAGUGUAGUGGUCAUCACGCUCGCCUAACACGCGAGAGGUCCCUGGUUCGAAACCGGGCAGAAACA